UACGGAGGGUGCAAGCGUUGUCCGGAUUUAUUGGGUUUAAAGGGUGCGUAGGUGGCUAUUUAAGUCAGUGGUGAAAGCCUGCAGCUUAACUGUAGGACUGCCAUUGAUACUGAAUAGCUUGAGUACUGAUGAGGUAGGCGGAAUUGAUAGUGUAGCGGUGAAAUGCAUAGAUAUUAUCAAGAACACCGAUUGCGAAGGCAGCUUACUAAGGAGUUACUGACACUGAGGCACGAAAGCGUGGGGAGCAAACAGG
Molecule: ribosomal RNA, 253 nt
Filed under: uncultured bacterium
Lineage: Bacteria
Description: partial 16S ribosomal RNA
Rfam family: Bacterial small subunit ribosomal RNA
Source: RNAcentral